GAUGAACGCUGGCGGCGUGCUUAACACAUGCAAGUCGAGCGAGAAGUUUUGAAAAGAUUCUUCGGAUGAAAUUUAAAAUGGAAAGCGGCGGACGGGUGAGUAACGCGUAGGCAACCUGCCCCAUACAAAGGGAUAGCAUUUGGAAACGAAUAUUAAUACCUUAUGAAACUUAACUAGUGCAUGCUAGGUAGGUCAAAGAUUUAUCGGUAUGGGAUGGGCCCGCGUCUGAUUAGCUAGUUGGUGAGGUAACGGCUCACCAAGGCGACGAUCAGUAGCCGACCUGAGAGGGUGAACGGCCACAUUGGAACUGAGACACGGUCCAAACUCCUACGGGAGGCAGCAGUGGGGAAUAUUGCACAAUGGGGGAAACCCUGAUGCAGCAACGCCGCGUGAACGAUGAAGGCCUUUGGGUCGUAAAGUUCUGUUCUAGGUGAUGAAAACUGACAGUAACCUAGGAGAAAGCCCCGGCUAACUCCGU
RNAcentral lists this ribosomal RNA (478 nucleotides) under uncultured bacterium. RNAcentral's name for it is "partial 16S ribosomal RNA". It matches the Rfam family "Bacterial small subunit ribosomal RNA", at positions 28 to 506 of the family's 1533-position model. The record is from RNAcentral.